Molecule: ribosomal RNA, 301 nt
Filed under: uncultured bacterium
Lineage: Bacteria
Description: partial 16S ribosomal RNA
Rfam family: Bacterial small subunit ribosomal RNA
Source: RNAcentral
CAGUAGCCACGGUAAUACAGAGGUCUCAAGCGUUGUUCGGAUUCAUUGGGCGUAAAGGGUGCGUAGGUGGCGGUGUAAGUCUAACGUGAAAUCUCGGGGCUCAACCUCGAAAUUGCGUCGGAUACUGCAUUGCUAGAGGAUUGUGGAGGAGAGUGGAAUUCAUGGUGUAGCAGUGAAAUGCGUAGAUAUCAUGAGGAAGACCAGUUGCGAAGGCGACUCUCUGGGCAAUUCCUGACACUGAGGCACGAAGGCUAGGGGAGCAAACGGGAUUAGAGACCCCCGUAGUCCCUGUCUCUUAUAC